Molecule: ribosomal RNA, 405 nt
Filed under: Causa holosericea
Lineage: Eukaryota; Metazoa; Mollusca; Gastropoda; Stylommatophora; Helicidae
Description: partial 16S ribosomal RNA
Rfam family: Bacterial large subunit ribosomal RNA
Source: RNAcentral
AACUACAUGGCUUUUUGUGUAGCUUUUUCUGCUCAAUGGACUCUAAAUAGCCGCAGUACCCUGACUGUGCAAAGGUAGCAUAAUCAAUUGGCUUAUAAUUGAAGUCUGGUAUGAACGAAUUUACGGGCAGUAGCUGUCUUAAAAAGAAUUUAGUGAAUUUAACUAUCAAGUGCAAAUGCUUGAAAAUACAAAAAAGACGAGAAGACCCUAGAAACUUUCUAUUUUGUUGGGGCGACAGAAUUGCAAAAUAACCAAUUUUAUAGUACAUAACGUAUAGCAGUAAGAUGAAGUUACUCUAGGGAUAACAGCAUAAUUUAUUAUAGUUUGUGACCUCGAUGUUGGACUAGGGAAAAUAGUUUUUAGAAGAGACUAUAUUUUGCUCUGUUCGAGCAACAUUACCUACAU